GAUGAACGCUGGCGGCGUGCCUAAUACAUGCAAGUCGAGCGAACGGACGAGAAGCUUGCUUCUCUGAUUUUAGCGUCGGACGGGUGAGUAACACGUGGAUAACCUACCUAUAAGACUGGGAUAACUUCGUGAAACCGGAGCUAAUACCGGAUAAUAUUUUGAACCGCAUGGUUCAAAAGUGAAAGACGGUCUUGCUGUCACUUAUAGAUGGAUCCGCGCUGCAUUAGCUAGUUGGUAAGGUAACGGCUUACCAAGGCAACGAUGCAUAGCCGACCUGAGAGGGUGAUCGGCCACACUGGAACUGAGACACGGUCCAGACUCCUACGGGAGGCAGCAGUAGGGAAUCUUCCGCAAUGGGCGAAAGCCUGACGGAGCAACGCCGCGUGAGUGAUGAAGGUCUUCGGAUCGUAAAACUCUGUUAUUAGGGAAGAACAUAUGUGUAAGUAACUGUGCACAUCUUGACGGUACCUAAUCAGAAAGCCACGGCUAACUACGUG
This 497-nucleotide ribosomal RNA is filed under the name uncultured bacterium. RNAcentral describes it as "partial 16S ribosomal RNA". It matches the Rfam family "Bacterial small subunit ribosomal RNA", at positions 28 to 507 of the family's 1533-position model. The record is from RNAcentral.